Molecule: long non-coding RNA, 36613 nt
Filed under: Fragaria vesca (wild strawberry)
Lineage: Eukaryota; Viridiplantae; Streptophyta; Magnoliopsida; Rosales; Rosaceae
Description: long non-coding RNA (FVES_LNC001282)
Source: RNAcentral
CAAAUCACCCCCUCCCUUAAUUCCGUAAAUGAGUUAGUUGAAAAAACAAGAAACAAAGAUAUAAAACUCGAACCGAUUAGCUAGUCAGGCUUGUGACUUCUAUGAUAAAGAGCAUUUUCCCUCCUAUUUGACCUAGUCGAGAGUCUAACUAGUUUUAUAGACACAAAAAAGGAAAAUUUACUCAAUUUAUAAUGCUAAAACUCAUGCUUUUUAUACUCUCAUUUCAAUUUUUAGGUUACGCUACAAGUAACAAAUGAUCGACUAAUUAAGUAGCCGAUGCUCUUACAUAUUUUGACACCUAAUUUUCUAGUAUGACUAAGUGGGAUAUGCCUAUAAAUUUCGUUCAUUCUCUUUAUAGCAAAGAUGAGUUAGAACUUCCUAACUUUUUUUAGUUUCAAUAAUGUCUGAACCCAAAAUAAGAUCUUAUUUUGUUUAGUCUUUCUCUUCCCUUCUAUUUUGAUUUAAAAGACUUGCUAAUAAAAUAAAACAAUAAUUUGAUACAAGUCUGGAUGCUGCCGAUAUAUAUAGUUCGCCCGUAGAAGUCCACAACCUUAAUUUGCCGCUGACAUUUUAGUCGGCGAAAGUCAUCAACCAAUUCAAUAAUUCAUAGAAAGAAGUUUUUUUGUGCGCAGCGUCUAAAAGUGAGAAUUCAAUAAGAAAUGCAUCAAACAUUUAAACCGGCGGGCUGUUGUUCGUGUUGUUGAAUCUUCUGUUUGGCAGGAGGUUGUUGAUUUAUGUAGUUUACUAAUUACUAACUUCUUAUCUUACUGGUUUUCGAUCUUUUACACAGAUGAGGCUCUUUAAAAUUACUAACCCAAGUCACAGUUGAUAGAACGUCAUAAUAAUGAAAGUUCAGAACCUUCUACACCUCAGUUGUUUAUUACUACUCCAAAGCAAUUUCGUCCAAAACUACCAAAUAAGUUUUAAUUCAAUUAACGUGUAGAGGUUGUUGUUGCAAUUAAGAUGAUCGGAUGAAAGUAGCACGGCUCACCAAAACUGCCCAGAGAUACGAAAUGAAGUUAGUGGUUAAUUUGAGUAUAAGAAACUCGGUCAUAUGUGAAUUGUCCCGCCAAACAUGAAAGAUGGCAUGCAUAUUCGACUCCUUUGUUAAUUAGAACUUCUAUCUAUAUCAUUUACAAAAUAGUUCAAGCAAUACUUCCAAUAUUGAUAACCUCUAUAUUACUAUACUUCUAAAACAAAUGAAAUCACACUACUGAAAUCCAAGUGUGUGCAAUAAGGUUAUUUAUAUAGACCGAAUUAAAAAAUAUUAAUUAUUUAUUAAUCAGUUAUGUUGUGACGACCUUUUUGAUUAACGAGUUUUCCUCGUAUCACAAAUUUGAGUAUCCAUUCUUUGUAAUUGACGUGAUAGAUACAACACAACCGUAACUUGAGCUUAACACGAUUAGACAUGAUCGAGGAAUUGCAUUAGACUACAACAGAAAUGAAACUUAACCAAAGACGAGCAAACAAAUUACAGAAUACAAACCAAGCUAUUAUUCCAAAAAAAAAAAUAAUAAAAUCAACUUGUUACUUGCAUAAUGCUGAUCUCACAAUCAAUAAUUUCCCCACAUCCUAUGCCAGCUAGAUGUCUUUUUUAAGCAUCUAACCCUAGCUAUGAUGAUUAAAAACAGACCCAACACUGAAUAUGCUAGUCACAAUCCUCGAGUUACCAUCAAAAUUAGAGUUUGGAUUAGAAAAUACUACGAAGCUCAGAAAAACGGCCGGUUUUGACCACCAUAGGACCUCCCCACCUAUAAACUCACCUUCUACUUUCAUUCUGCAUAUAUUAACUUCGACGUACUGCCACCCUUACACUAUACCUUAUAAGGAAGCAGCACCCUUUUGUGAAACCCUAGCUGAUUUCCUUAUCAAAAUUUAGGUUUCGUUCUGGAAAAAGAUCGAUAUGAAGCUCGCUCGAUCACAAGUGCUAGCGGUUUCGACCACCAUAUAUAGGACCUCCCCGGUAAAUUCAUCCUCGAUCUACUGCUGCUCUACACCAAGUAGGAAGCAGCAUCUUUCACUGUGCAAACUAAGGUGCCCUAAGUCGAUCGCGAUUUCCCUAAGUGGAUCACAACUCACGUACAGAUGGAGCUGCACGUUAUUACUUGUAUUUCCAUGAUUUCUCACAUGACAGCCACGCACCAUUUCUGCCCCAUUACCCUCUUCUUCUUCUUCUUCUUCUUCUUCUUCUUCUAUUACUAUACUUACAUUCUGGAACGCAACCCGCCAUUUCGAUCUUCAACCACUCCCCUUCAUUAUUGGGGUGCUUAUAAUUAUGGUUUCACACCCCGGCCCUCUCAUUCAUAUGCAAUUAUCAAAAAAUAAUUGCGCUAGUAAUUUGUAAUUUUGACUUGAAAUAAUUUAACGGUUUUUAAUUUCAUCUUGACCAUAUAUAUAUACGACCAUUCACUUGAGGUUGAGGUUAUUACAGUGGAAUUGAGUGAAAACAAUGACUAACACUGAAUUUGUUGCUGUGGGAGUGUGGAUGCAUCUUCAAUUUUGUUUGACAAAAUGGGUAAGUCAUUACAAUAUAUGUAAUGAAAACCAAGAGAUCUCCCUAGCUACUUUAGGACUAAUUUUGACCGAAAGUAAUAAGUAACACUGAAUUUGUUGCUAGCAUGGAAGAUCUUCAGUUUUUAUGAUUUUCAAGCUUCUUAAUAAACACAUUGAUUGAAUUUUUUAUUUGCAUUAAUAAAGGAUCAUUCCAAUUUUUUGACCUACUAUUUUUAGGAUCGAUCCUUAUACGUAGUUGAGUGAAAACUUCUACCCAUGAUGCUCGAUGAGUUACUCGUUUAAGGUUGACUCCAUUUGAUCAAGGCUAAUCACACUAGUUUGAUGAAAACAAAAGAUGGGGUACGGUCGUUCCAUUAACCAGUUUUCAGCUAAUGAACGAUUGACCUUUCAGAAUUUGAAAUUACUAAAACAAAAAUGAUUGAACCUCUAAAUUAGAACAUAAAUUAAUUUUACAAAAAAGACAGAACAACGGGGUAUGAAGUAAAACCCACGGAAAAAAGACUAGAACAGGGACAAGCAUGGCCCAUGAAUCAUUAUUGUACCGAUAUUAUCCCAACUUAACUACCUUUAAGGUGUUGGGUUUUAACCACAAAAGGCCUCGGUACAAUUGGAUAUGAUCCAUCCACUUAUAAGUUGUAUUUUAUUUGUCCCUUUUCUGAUGUGAGAUCUUUCCUCUCCAACACUCCCCCUCACGUGCAACCUAAUUUUUAGGUCUGCACGUGGAAUUCAUUCAGUCCAAUUACCACAUCGGAAAUCGGUAAUGCUUCAGUCCAAGGCCCACUGCAGGCACUUGGUAUGGUAUGGGCCAAUCGGAAUUUUUCCGCUGGCAAUUCGAUGAACCCAAAUCUGGGCUCAUUAUGCUGGGAGAUUUUCUCCCGUUACGCUGGGAGACGUAAUUGAAGAGGGACCCGCUCUUAUACCAACUAGAACAGGGACAAGCAUGGCCCAUGGAUCACUAUUGUACCGAUAUUAUCCCAACUUAACCACCUUUAAGGUGUUGGGUUUUAACCACAAAAGGCCUCGGUACAAUUGGAUAUGAUCCAUCCACUUAUAAGUUGUAUUUUAUUUGUCCCUUUUCUGAUGUGGGAUCUUUCCUCUCCAACAAAAAGAACCAUAGCAGCACCUAUGAAACUCAAGCCUUCUCUUUGAAGACCACGUACUAGCACCCAUCUCGUCCGGUGGAAACCCUGGCUAUUGGAUGGCCCUUUGGCUUAACCGAUGCUAGGGUUUCGCUACCGGAUGAGACUUGUUUCUACUGCCCAGUAGUUUUCUUUGACAGUGGCUUGGCUCUAGGGUGAUAUAGGAAGAAUCCAGGUCCAUGACCUUUGCAAGUUUGGGGAGAUCGGUGAUUGCUUUUAGUCUAAAGGUGGCGGGGGACUUUGAAAGAAGCGCCCAUGAUCGAGUUGGUGUGAUUUGGAUGCUUUUUAAAGGAUUGUGUUUCGGUAAGACUUAGCAAGAGCUGAUUUUGGUGGUUGUCGAACCUCAUCGGACAAUGGUGGCAUAGUCACUGUGAUUUACGAGGAUUUGUGGUGGUUCUUGUGGUUGCGAAUCGGCGGUGACUAUGGAAUAUGGUGUGGUGGCACAUGGGUCAGUGGGCACGGGUCUUCUCUGAUGGGCCUGGGGUUGGGCUUCUUUAAGACUGCUGGGACCUAGUUGGGCUAGGGCUCUAAGUUGGGGCCUUAUCCCUUUUAUCCCUUUGGGGAACUAUAGGGGUUUUCCCCCAAUCUAGAGUUCUAGUCUUUCCACCUUAGCCUAGACAUUUGAUUGUGGACUACUUCUGUUCGAUUCUGGGUUUCUAGUAGUUGUACAUCAAUUGCGGUCUCUAGGCGACUAUUUCUACCUACAAUAGGGAUUUGAUAGGAAUGAUUUAAGGUCAUUUGUAUGUAGGCUUAAUAAACUGAGCUAAACCUUUUUGCAAUGAGGGUACUUUUCAGUUAUUUUUACUUGUUUACUACCAGAGAACUUUGGUGUAAGCCAAUAAAUGUUGUAAGUGCCUUCUGGUUAUAGAUAAGUAAUGAAAGUAUAUAAUUUCCUUCAAAUUGUUUACUUCCAGAGAACUUUGGUGCAAGCCAAUAAAUGUUGUAAGUGCCUUCUGGUUAUAGAUAAAUAAUGAAAUUAUAUAUUUUCCUUAAAAAAAAAAAGGGCAGAGCAACCGAAUUUCCACUAGAUAACUAAAACAAAAACUUGUUAGCUAGGUUAAUGCCCACCUCAAGUAUGAAGUAUGAAGUAUUUACUGUACAAGUUAUUGAAUAAAAUAUUGUCUAACAUAAACGGAUUGACUUUAUUUGCUGAUGAAAAUAGUUACAUUAAGGGAAUGAACACAAUGUGUGUGUGUGAAUUAACAAGCACCACCAUUAACUAGCUAAUCAUACAUACAUAUAUAUAAGCUAUAAAGCGUAACGAUGUGACGAUUGAGAUUCUAAAUUCAGAAACAGAUUCCCUGAUGAAUGUUGAAGAAAAUCAAAGAAGAAUCUCAGGUAGGUGGUCGUCUAGAUAAGAUUGAAGAAGAAUGCUAACUUUGCAUAGCAAUUAACUAAGGUAAUCGGUGGCCGGUCAAAACUUUAGGAGGUGCUUCAGCUAGCUUCUCCCAAAUAAGUUUGAAAAAGAAACGAUAAUGAAAAAACCACAAGGUGUUAGAUUCUGUUGAAGCCUUUCAAGUAUGGCAAGGGUUGAGGGGAAGGGGUAGAAGCUCUCUACGCUUUGUAUCACUUUCACCUCACCGUCGACUGUCACUAACUUAACUUAUAUCAAAUUCGAUUUUUUUUUAGUAAUGGCAUAACCAGGAAAUAUAUUGAUCACCAGCCAUAAUAGGCCGUCACAUAUCCUCUUGCUGCCUCUAGGACAGAACAAGGAGUUGUAGUAGUACCCACUGGUGAUACAUAGAAACAGACCUACUCAUUAUACAAUUGAAUACGUAGAGAUAUCAGAUCGAUAUCCUCCUUCGAUACUACUCCAGAGUACGUUAGAGAAAAACUUAGAGAACAAAACUUCAGAAAAUAGACUCAAAACACCUAGCGGUGCCAUGACACAUGUAAUGUGCUUAGGAUCUUAAUGUACUAGUGGAAUCAAGGCCCAACUGGGCUUUAGCAUGAGCAGGAAUAUGUCUCUCCACGCGCGUUGAGCAAUACCGCACGGUAACGUCUACCGCCGUCAUGAUUAAACCAGGUGCUCGCCGAACCAGCAAACGACAUCACCACGUCACAAACCUAUGCCGCAUCGCAGUUCUAUCAGAUCUUACACUGGGACUGCCGUUUAGAUUCCACUGGUUAUAGAUCUCAUGCCUCCACCGCCGUUCAUACCUUCAAGGAGAAACCAUGCCGCCACCAGGGAAGUCUACACUGAAACAAUCAUAAUACAAGAAACUAAGAAAGAAAAGUUGACUACGGAUCAAACCAAAAAAAAAUAAAAAGUUUGAGUCAUGUAUUUUUUUUUUUGAAAAUGGGCUAAAUCGGCCGCCCUCAUGCCUUAACCAUUAACGAAACCGCAAAAUACAAGGGGGGGGGGACAUAAAACCUAAACCCCAUAUUGCCUGAACAUCCUGAAAUAAUAUCAAGAGUUCUCAAUCCUAUGCAUUCUAACAAGCACCAUUUAGCAAGGAGUGCAUCAGUGGCUACUCUAUUUGCUUUACAAUUUUGGUGACAUACCUGAAAGACAAUGCUCGUGCAGAGCCAUAAGUUACUAUGUCUAACAGCUUUCCUACUAUGUUGCCACUGGAAUAGAUUACCAGUGACACUGAGUUUCAUCUUGCCACUGGGAGGUUGCGACCAUUUGAAACUCGCCGCCUUCCAAGAGCAAACAUGGUACGUAAAUCGCGCAAACCGGGAUGUAACCCACGUAUCCAGAUCAGAUAGAGAUCAGGACUUAUUGUAAACUUAAAAUAAAUUACAACUAAAAAACAAAAUACCACAGCCAAGCCCAAAUAAAGAGACAAGACCCAAUCUUCCACAGAAGAAUCAAGAAGAAAACACGGUGCUCGCUGAACCUGGUCAAUCCCAUCGCCGGCCGUCACCGAUGGUUCACCACCUACUCGGCCGCGUCUGCAUCGCCGGAGCGCCCAACCCACUCUGCCCUCCCCCUCGCGCAGAAGAACGCAACCCUUGCUCUGCAACCUCACCUCCAGACCAGAUCAAAAAGAUCUUAACCCGUUCGGAGUGAUCUGAUCGAAGCCUAGCCGCGCCGCCACAAUCUCUCCAGUUCCCAGCCACCACCAUUGCAGCGCACCCCAUCCCCUCCGUCGAUCAGACCAACAAUGGGAGAACCAACAUCCAAGCAGAGCCCUGCCUUCACCCUUCCUCACCCUGCAAACCGCCACCAAAAGUUCCCCAUCACGAUCAAGGAUCUCAAUAGGGGAAGCUGGCUUAUUCUGAACCCACACGGGGCCGACAAGGCCUGUCCGACGACGGUGAGAGAGCACGUCGCCGGACAGGGAUGCAUCUUCGACUUUUGCUCUCAGCCUCUAGGGUUUUUAUGACGGAACCAAAUAAACAUAGUUUGAGUCAUGUAUAACAAUGAAAAUUCAUCAGCCAACCUAGUGGGUAAUCACUUUUCUAACAUGGCAGAUGGACAACCACAUUUUUAAGUGUAAAUGUCGGUUUUGACUGACACUUGAAUUUUCUGUUACCGUCAUGUUUGAAUAAUUUUUUUUUGGUCAUAUGUUUGAACCAAUUUGGGAACGAUGAAAAUUUAACUCAGUGAGCUCUCUCCGUAAUUUUUCUUGUUCUUCUAGAGUGGUCGGAGAGUAGCUCGUGAGGGUUUGGAUUUCUCUAUCCUAACCGCCUCAUCUCCCCUCACCUUUACCCGCCCAACAAUCAUCAUUAUGUUGGUCUUUGGCCAGAAUGUCGCCACGAAGUAGUACGGCGGCAACAACAGCCUACGUCAAUCUCGCUCAUAGAGGACACCUCAAUCUCUGCGUAUGUUGACGUAGUCGUGGCAAAGGACGAGAAGGAGACUUACGGCGGCGUGGUAGGGGAGGGCCGCUAUAGUUGGUAUGAGGAUGGGGAGGAGGGAAGUGACAACUACAAAGGUAGUGGCGCGCAUAAGAGGAGCUGCGGAUUGCGCCCAUGCGAGGUCAAAACUAGAAGUGUAGAUGUUGAUGUGAGUAUAGACUUUUUUGAUUGACAUAACAGUUUUGUGAGCGCUUCGUUAACAUAAAUGAGGUGAGUCCUCAUUAGUUGGUUGGGGGGGGGGGGGGGGGGGGGGGGGUAGGGGGGAAGAAUCUCCAAACAUCAAAACUUUUUUUUUAAGAAGAUUACAAUUACAAUUUUAUUAUCCAUUAUGGAGGUAAAUGCCAAAAGUCUUACUAGGAAAAUGAAAGGUGUGGAUGAUGAAGUUGGUAGAAUAAGUAGUUUUUUUAGUAUGAAGUGUAAUUUUUUCUUUCUUCUGUUGACAGUGUUACAUACAGUAUCCCCAAAGUCUUUUUAGGUUUAGAAAUUGAGUGCAUGUUUCUAAUUAUGCAUUUCUCUGGCCAUUUUCACAACUUUAAGGUAUAAACCUAGGUUUGAGAGCACAUCCAACCAGACGAAAACCAACAAGUCACUUGCAAUGGUUUAGUAUGAAGUGCAUAUAGUCCUACCUAUAAACAUCUCUUGAUUAAAUAGUAAAUUUAAACAUCAACUGAUCGCUUAUUCACAUUUUUACAUUCAUAUCCUUAUUGUUCAUACAAAAAUAUGGAUUUACCUAAUUCGAGUGAGUGAUAUUUAAAUUACAACCACAUAUUUCUACAAAAAGCCAAAAGAAAUAUUUUCAACAACAUACUCGAAUAGUAGAUGCUCAAAAGGAAACUUAAGUUUAGAUAUUGUAUUUAUGAUAACGAGUUUAUGUUUUUUUCAAUGAAAACAAUACAAAAUUACUUAUAAUAUAUGAGACAAAAUAUUGAUAAUAUCAUUUCCUUAUUAAGUGGCCUCAAAUUUGGUUCAACAAUAAGGAAGGGCCAUAGAUUCUUCACAAUCUUUUUGUUUUUGUUUUUGUAUCAUUUUGGUCAAUGUAACAUUGUGUUUUGUGUCGUUACUGAUAGGGUAAUUAUAUGUCGUUUUGUCAACCAAGAAUUGCUAAAUUGUGCAUCGUCGCACAACAUGCAUGGAAAACACGUUUCGACUCCGACCUUACGACUAUUUUGCCAUAAAGACCGAUACCUUUACUCGUUUUUCCUAUCAAUGGGUACGCAUUAGUCGUUUACUAGGUUCACCGAUUCUUUUUUCCUUUUGACGUUAUUUUUGUCUUCAACCAAUUUAAGUCUUUGCAUUUUACUUCCACAUGCACCGCAUGACACAUAAUUGUCGAAAAUCCAGUAUCAAAAGAAGAGAUAAACACCGGAAUUAAAUGGAGUCAAAUUUGAAACAACCGCCCCAAAAAAUCGACAAGGGGGGGGGGGGGUAAAAUGUGAAAAUCAAAAGGUAAAUUACCUCUUUGGACUGCCCUUGUGACUUUUGUUUAACAUGCGUUGUAGCAAUUAAUCUCAUGAUUAUAGCACAUAAUUAGGCUAAAUCAAUGUGGAGUCAAGGUGUCACUGUUGUAAAGGUGAUGGAGAGUGGAGUAGUAGGGCAACGUUUUCUUCUGCGAAGAAGAAGAAGAAGAAGAAAUAAAAAGAAAUAAGGAGAUUUAUAGGACCCAAAUGCAGAAAGAAGUAAUAAAAAUCCAAAGAGUGUACAGAGAAGAAUAGUAGAAGUUGUAGAGAGAAAAGAAAGAGAGAAGAAAACCAAACCCUGUCUCGUGAAGCAGCAGGUGAAGAGAGAAAGAGGCGAAGAAGAAGAAGGAAAAACAAAAACCCCCAUAUUAUUCAUAUAAAAUAAAAGCUUCUCUCUUUCUUUCUUUCUUUCUUUCUUUCUUCUUCUCAGAUUAUCUCUCUCUCUCUAAACAAAACACCCUUCACAUUCAUUCUUUGCUUCUUCCCUUUUUUUCUUAUAUCACGAGAUCCCCAUCUCGGCCCUUUCUCUCAAUCUCUCUUUCUUUAAUGUCUUCUUCUUCUUCCUCCUCACAGCCUCUUCUUCUUCAGCUGCUUCUGGGUUUGUCUUUUUCUUGCACCCAUUGUUGUUCUUGGAGUAAAGGCCUCACUGGGUCUCACAUUGCUCACUCUCUGUGAAAAAAUCUCCAAAUUCGAAACACACAGACUGAAAAAAGAUUCAACCUUUAUUUUUUCUUUUUUUCCUCGCCGGAGUUUUGUUAUCGGAAAUGUCGCACUCCGGGAAGCCCAUUUCGGAGACAGGAGGAGGAGUCGACUCGCUCUCGGAUCGCCUCCGUGAGUCACUGAGUUGCGAGGCCAACAAGCCCGAUUUCCGAGAACUCGAUCUGGGCUCGCCCGUUUCGCCACUCCGGACCCACCAGAGUGGAGGCCUCGCCGCCGCCGCCGCCACAAGCAGCAGCUCCAGUUCGUCCGGAUCGGUCUCGGGUCGGAACCCGGUUGCCAAGAGAUCCGGUUCCGGUUCGGGGCCCACCACCACCAACAAGAGCCAUUCCGGCGAGCUCUCCCGGUCCAGCGAGAGCAGUCCCACGAACAGUUCCAAACCGGGUCAUAGGAGAUCCAAUUCCGGGUCAGCCCACCCGUUAAUCUACUCGGGUCAGAUCUCCUCCUCCUCCGCCGUCAACUCGUCUCCGAGAUCGAAUGUUCUCCCCACCGGGAACAUCUGCCCGUCCGGGAAGAUCCUCAAGGCGGGUAUGGUGCCCAAUCGGAGCUCCAGAACCGACGUCUUGGGCUCCGGGACGGGCUACUACGGCCACGGGAGCAUAAUGCGGGGCGGCGCGGCGGCCAAGACGGAGGCGGUGAGCUCGAGGACUAGCGGCGGAGGAGGAGGAGGAGGAGGAGGAGGAGGCGGAGACUUGAAGAGAGUGAUGGAGCCGGAAGAGGUCAAGAGAGCUGGGAAUGAGCAUUACAGAAGAGGCAAUUUUGCGGAGGCUUUGAGCUUGUAUGAUCGGGCAAUCGCUUUGUCUCCGGCCAAUGCCGCUUACCGGAGCAACCGUGCUGCGGCAUUGACCGGCCUAGGGCGGCUGGGGGAGGCGGUGAGGGAGUGUGAGGAGGCUGUCAAGUUGGAUCCCAAUUAUGGCAGAGCUCACCACCGUUUGGGGUGUUUGUUUGUUAGGUGAGUUGGGAGCUAAAGCUCAAGUCUUUUCAAAGCAGAUGUGUUGGUUUAUUAAAUUUGGUGCUGGGUUAGUGUCGGUGUUGUUGAUUAGUUUGAGAAUGUCUCUACUUUUUUGGUUCUUGGAUCUGGUUCACUGUGCUGUUUUAGGUUUCCAUUCUUGACUUGGAUGUGUCUUCGUCAUGGUGUGCUUCUUUUAGUCUAGUUUACUGUAUGCUCCUGUAUUACAUUAUGCUGUGUUUGCUUAGAGGUCUUAGAAGGGUUUUCAAAGCCUUGUUGGUUCGUAUUCAUUUGAUUCGGAUCCGAAUCCUGCUGUAAAAUUUCAGUGCGGUGUGGAAUUUUCUCCACUCUAAUCUCUGCAUAAUUCACUGUUGUGACAGGUUAGGGCAGGUCGAGGAUGCCAGGAGGCAUCUAUGUUUUCCAGGGCUGCAGCCCGAUGCGGCUGAGUUACGGAAAUUAGAGGUAGUAGAGAAGCAUCUUAAAAAAUGCACAGAUGCCCGCCGUGUAGGAGAUUGGAAAAGUGUAUUGAGGGAAAAUGAUUCUGCCAUUGCUGCUGGAGCUGACUUUUCUCCCCAGGUAACUAUUGGUGUCUAAAAUCUUGACAACUGAAAUUGUAUUAGAUUUUGUCAUGAGAUGCACAUAACAAAAUGCUGAACUUGUUCAAAUUGAAUUUACAGCUCUCUAUGUGUAGAGCGGAAGCACAUUUGAAGCUCUACCAAAUUGAUGAUGCUGAAUCAGUCGUAUCAAACAUACCCAAAUUAGACACUUAUAUGACCUCCUCACAAUCUAAGUUCUUUGGGAUGCUUUCUGAAGCAUACACUUACUUUGUCUUGGCCCAAAUUGAGAUGGCAUUUGGAAGGUGAGUUUGAAUUUUUAUUUAAAGGUUCAUCACAGUUACAAAGGUUAUGAGCUUUGUGGUAAGUGAGAAUGGAUGAUGGAUGUAUUGCAGGUUUGAGAAUGCAGUUACUGCUGCUGAGAAAGCUGGAAAGAUUGACCCCCGAAACCUUGAAGUUGCUUCACUGCUUCAAAAUGUGAGAAUGGUGGUGAGAGCUCGUGCCCGUGGCAAUGAUCUCUUCAAAUCCGAAAGGUUCACUGAAGCAUGCUUAGCAUAUGGAGAUGGCCUGAGACUUGAUCCUUCAAACUCUGUUCUAUAUUGCAACAGAGCAGCUUGUUGGUUUAAGCUUGGGAUGUGGGAGCAUUCCAUUGAAGACUGCAAUCAGGCCCUAUGUAUUAAACCGAAUUACUCAAAAGCUCUUCUUCGAAGGGCUGCAUCAAACAGCAAGGUAAAUUGCAUAUUUAACUGGUUCAUGCAUUUCUCUUUUUCUGAAACAAAUUCACAACUUUUUAAUUUUGGCUUUUUUGUAUUACAGCUUGAAAGAUGGGUAGAUGCUGUUAGAGACUAUGAGGUUUUGAGGAGGGAGCUUCCUGAUGACAACGAAGUGGCUGAAUCAUUGUUUCAUGCUCAAGUUGCAUUGAAAAAAUCUCGUGGGGAAGAAGUGCAUAAUAUGAAGUUUGGGGGUGAAGUAGAAGAAAUAUUGGGUCUUGAGCAGUUCAGAGCUGCAAUAUGUUUACCAGGUAGGCCUUCAAAUUCGUACAUGCCUGUCACACGUUUACACUUGCAUCAUUGUACAAGUGCCUAAAGAUUUCAUAUUUCCAGGUGUCUCCGUGGUCCAUUUCAAAGCAGCAUCUGAUUUGCAAUGCAAGCAAAUAUCACCUUUUGUGGACACGCUCUGUGCCCGCUAUCCAUCCAUAAAUUUCCUCAAGGCAAGUUAUAGACACUUCCAUCGUAUCACUUUAAAUAUACUUUGCAUGCCUCGUUAUUUUUGCUGUUGUAUACUGGAUAUAAAGUUAUAUACUUAUGAUGGUGAUGCAUUGCAGGUUGACAUUGAAGAAACCCCAGCAGUUGCGAACAUUGAAAAUGUAAAGAUUGUACCAACAUUCAAGAUAUACAAACAUGGUAGCCGGGUGAAGGAAAUGGUGUGCCCCUGUCGUGAAAUGUUAGAACACUCGGUCAGGCAUUAUAGCUUUUAGAACUUAGAAAACUGUACUGUAAUUCUGCUUCAUCUCUGCUGUAUUUUUGCAUUUUUCUUGCUGCUUUCCAACCCCCAGUUCGAUAGGGAGCUCUUCCUCACAUCCCCUUCCAUUCAGCCUCCCCUGUCUAUUUACCAGCUACCUGUGCCAUAAUCAAUAUCACCAAAAAAUUCAGUUACCAGCCAAUGCCAUUGGGUUCCAGAGAAGUAGCUUAGUUCCUUUCUCAGUUUUCAUUUAUUCAUUCAUUCCUCAUUGCUCUCUGGUUCCAGUUCUUCCUCCUUUUUCCACCUCUCUCGUCGUCAUAUAAAAUGUAGGCUGGCCUGGAUACUGUUUACCCAGUUCCAGAAAAAAAAAUCCAUGUACAAUUGUUUAGUUCACCCUUGAGUGGGUUAGAGAGGUUGAGAGAGAGAGAGAGAAAGGGAGAGAGUGAGGGGGGUGAGAGAGGGUGAGUGAAGGAGUGGGAGGGAGAAAGAGAUGGCUGGCUGGUUGUAGAAGAGGAUUUGUACAUGUAUAUAUGUGAUAAUACAUGACAAAAAAAAGAAAAGAGAAUGGAAGUAUGGGAGGGGAUUAGAUGUCUGGUGGGUACUUACUGGGUUAGUGAAAGAAGAAUGUCUAUGAAUAUGUUACAUUAUUAUCAUCAUGAUGACUAUGAAUAUGUUGUUAUCAGAAUUAUCAUUCAACAAUAAAAAAAUUCUAGUUUCUUUUUCUCACUUGAUGUCUGCUUCUUCAAUCAAGUCUCCAGAGGAUGUUUCAUUUCCUAUUCACAGUUUUUUUUUUUUUAAUUUAAUUAAUUUAUUUAUUUAUUUUUAUUUUUCAAUCUCACUCAUUUCCUAUUCACCAGGAUGUAUUCUUGGUGAGAUCACAUUUUGUUUGGUCAAUUCGAAAAUGAGUGAGAUUUGCCUCCUCAGUUGUAACAUUUCUCUUAUGUCCUCGUGAACUAAACAGUUAUCAGCAUUGUUGACAAUGUGGGAAAGAUCCAUAUCUAUUUCAUUAUCUAUGGAAAAUGCUAUUAGGGGUAUUAUGCCGCAGGCGAAGUUCACUGAUUACAUCAGUUCAUCAGUUAGAGUCAACGAAGUUGUUACUGAAUACAUCAUUCUGCUUCUGAAUGCUGGUAAUGCUGUCAUCUCAAUGCAAAACUGUUAAAGAUUUCAUUUUCGCUAAACAGCUAUAGGGCACUUCAUAAUGCGUUAUGCCUAUCAUUCCAAAUCACAAACUACAUCAUCAAUGGUAAGUUGGAGACUUGGAGGUCACUAUAUAUGUGUUUUGGAAAGGUUUGGUUCAUUCUUCCGAAGUAGAAUUAUAUGACCAACAAGCUUGUCGAGAUGGGAGAGUAACACCGAUUUAGUUAUACAUGGAUAUUUGAUUAACUAGUGACUUUGUUCAUGUUUGCACACCGACAUGCAGAGAACCAUGGUCGGUGCUGACAAAAUUUCUGUUAUUGUUUCUUUCUGUAAAGGUUAAGUAAACAAUGGGGAGUGAUUAGGGGGAGAUCAGAUUCUAGGGUUUUGUUUAAUGGGAAAUGGUUGACAAGACAAUGUCUCUUCUGGGUGGGCAUUGGGAGAAAAGGCAAGUGUGUUUUAAAAUGAAUGAAUUAAGGGAAGUAGUCGGUGGUUGAGACUAUUGAAUGGAAUCAAUACUCUUCUUGCUUCAAAGCAAGCGUAGAUUCCUGUAGCAAGAAAGGGGGAGAGAAAAGCUCCCUAAGAGACCACACUCUUUACUCUUGCCAACCACUUGUGACCAAUUUGGUUGUCGAAUAGUGAUUGUGAAAGAGAGAUCAAUGCCCCCCUUUGGAGUUCAUCAUAUCACUAUGCAAUGUGUUUAUCAAAAGUUUUGAGCCUUCACAAAGCAACAUAUAACAUCUUGUAUUUCUCCUUUUAUUGCAAUUGAUUUUAGUUUUGAUAAUGAUACGAAUGUUUGAUUUUAGGUUGUUCAUAAUGUCACUAUAGACAUAUUGUGUGUGACCACUAAAUGACCUUACUUAUUCCCCUUUAGGGACGGCUUGCAUAUGUGACUCAAAGCCAGUUUUUAGAAUUAACAUGGGCUAAAUUUUAUUACUAGAGCUUGGCUGGCUAUUAGUAUAAAAAUGGUGGGAUGAAGGCUUAAUCAACCUUUAUAUUAUAGAAGAAACAAGAAAGCUGUACGGGUAUAGGGACGAGUGAUUCUUCAAUCCUCCGUCGCUUAGUGACUCGACGCACUGAGGGACGAGUUGGAGAUUUAUGCUUUUCGUUAUUAGUUUUUUCAGUCUUACAUUUGUAAGUGUGUAAUUAGGUUUGACUCUUAAUUAAUGAAAUAUUAAUUUCUCUCUAAAAAAAAAUUUAUAAUAAACUACGAAGUCUCAUAUUGGCAGCCAAUUUUAGAAAAGUCUAAAUUAUUACUGUUAAAAAUAAUGAUAAUGGUUGUGAUAGGGCCUCUUUUUCAACCUAGUUUGCUACUUUCUAAGAACCUUCAGAGGUGGCAUCUUGAGUGUUUUUGUUUUACUUACUCUUUUGAUGCAUAAAAUGGUACCAAGGUCCAAACUCUGCAAAGAGAAUCAGUUCUGGUCUUUGAUUUUGACAAAUUUUGAUAAGUUUGUUUGAGUUUUUGUUCGUUUUGGCAAAUGAAUGGUCCCUAGUACGAUCAUCAUUGUCUUAUCAGCAAACAUUCUUAUCAGUGUCACAAUAAUAAAGUUGGAUCGUCGUUAAUGUAUCUGUCUCUGUAACUUAACCGAUUCUACGAUUUACUUUCAUUUUGUAGUUUAGUGUUACGAACAUACUAUCUGAAUUAUGUUUCUUGUAUUAAGGAAAAAUAUAUCUUCUUUUAACUGCAGACAAUAUCUCUUCUCAACAAAAAAAAAAAAAAAAAAAAAAAAAAAAAAAAAACUAGUAGACAGUAUCUUUUUGACUCAUGUUUUUCAAUACAAGAAACAUAAUUCAGAUAGUAAGUUCAUAACACUAAGCUACAAGAUGAAAAAUAAUGUUAAAUUUGAGUAAUGAGCCAUCCAAAAAUGGCUUUAGGUCUUUAAUUUCGAACCUAAACAUUUCAUUCAGUUGAUUCCAGAAAUAUGCCUCUGCCAGAGUGACACUAAUUACUGUAAUUAGGACAUUUUUGGGAAUGGUCCGAGAGUGGGGUUUGCUCUUCAAUCUUGGCAUGUGGACAUUUAAGAAAGAAACAAGUACCCCAACUCAAUUCAGUCAUACUCAUAUACACAUACUUACAUAUAUAGACACCAAAUUGAUCAUCAUCAACUUCCAAAGUCCGGCCGGUAGAGCCACCCUGGCUGACGGCGACCACCUCCCAUCUGGGCUGAUGGCUACGUCUGUGAGGGCUGCCGUCGCAAUAAAUGAAUUCAAUUCCAUCCUGUCCGCUUCUUAGAACUUUCAGUUCAGUUCUUCCCAUGGACCAUUUCCAUGUUCAAACAAAGCUUGAUUGGCAUGGUGACAAAAUGAGCCCUUCUCCCUCCGCCUAAUAUCAUCAACAACCUAACAAAACGGAAUGUGAGACUGGUGGUCCAAGAUUUGAGAGGAUAGGUGGUUGUCCGCUGUUAAUCGAUGAAUUUCGCACGUCGAAGAUCGGAUUGCAUGCUCAUACGGGAGGCUGAAAUGGCUUGGAAGGGUUUGAACAUAACAUGAUCAAAAUGAACUAUUUGACAAGAGAAUAGAGGAAAUGAUGGGAAAGAAAGCACUACAAAUUACGAUAAUAGAUACAAUACUGUAAACCAAAAGUUACUAUUUAGUCAAGUGACAUAAGUUUUAUGUUCGUAAAUAAAAUAUAGACAGACAUUUUCAAUUGUUUAGUUGCGAGAACUUUUUUUGACAAACGGUAAACUUUAUAUUUGAUUAGUAGAACAAAUUUCAAAUGCUAAUUCAUGGAACGACUAUAUCUCAGAUCAAAGCUUAAGAAUACGAAAAUGUUCAUGCGACUUUGGGUCACCUACUCCUUGAGCUCUCGUUAUAUUCAAUACAUUGUUAAAAAGAGAUUCUCAAGACGGUCAACCAAGGAAGCUGUGUUUGAUUGACCAUGCAGUUCAUCAAAGAAGAAAGACCAGCAUGUUCACACGGGUCUCUGCUGGGUGCCCUAGUCGGUGCGUCACCGGCGGUCAAACGGCCGGCAGGGGGGGAGGUGACUGCUGAGAUGGGGCCAAUGCAUGAUGUGGUGUGAAGCAAACAGAGAAUCGAAUAUCAUUGUUUAUUUGCUCAGAAACAAAAAACAAAAGCAGAAGGGGAGGAUCGAGGUACUGAAAGACAGUACGUGAAAUGCUGAAGAGAUUAGAUUUGAAGGUAGCGGAUAGAUAGAUGGAUCUAGAUCGAUAGAUCCAAAACCACACAGAUGAGGGAGGUCACUGCCCUAAACGUGGCUGUGAGGCUCUUAACCUGCCUCUUCUAGUACGGCCUACUCAAACAGUGAAAACUCGUGCAGCAAGUUUCGUCAGAUUGGAUUCUCAUCUAUCAGGAACAAUGACACGUCGCUUUCUGGGGUUUUCAGACUUGGGUAAUUGUGUCUUCCCUUACCAUUUGUGGAGCUUACACAGUUACACAGAAAGAAGAUUUGGAUGUUACGUACAAGUGUACAACUCCAUUGCAGUUCAUCAUUGUUCUGUAAAUGAGAAACUGUAUCAAGAAAUGUAAAAUGAAACAAGAGGGCCAUACACCCUUUAACUAUGAUGACCCUCACCGAUAAUUAUAAUAAAAACAAAAACAAAAAAAAACCCACAUUGUGUUCAAGCUAAAGAAUCCCAAUCGGCAUCGUCAAAAACAGAGAGCAGUGGUUCUGUGCUCGAGACAUUCUUCACCACACAAGAGCAGCUUGAGGUUUGACAAUACUACUUUGGCAACGAAAUUAAACAAAUGAUCAGUCAUUUGAGAUUUGAAGGCCAACAGGUUACAAAGGUUGUAGUUCAAACAUGACUGCUCAUAUUGUAAACAUGGCUUAGGGUAUAGCUAGGUAUAUAUUAGGUCCUCUGCAAAAUCAUACACAGAAGUAAGCUCCUAAAUUAAUGAACUGAAAGAAGAUGCUGCUUUGUACUCAUGGUGUCUUUUAAUGCCAUGAGCUCCACCACUAUCGGUAUUUGAUCUGGUGAAGCAGUUGCAUAGGAAUUACACACAUUGAGAGGUUUCUUCAAAUCAAAUAAUUACAUUUAAAAGUCAAGAAAAGGAAAUUAACCGGCAAUUAUUCUCAGUGUUCACUUAAUACCAUAUUUUAUCUCCCCCGUCAUUUUGAAACGGGGGAGAUAAAAGUACCUUAGCUGAUCUUACAAGUUCAGAGCCAACAGAACUAUCAGAUGAGAACACUUAUCAGCCUGUAAUUGCUCGAGAAUUUAAAAUAUUUUGAAACAUCAAUUCUUCCAAAUUUUCAUGUGACAAUGACAUUGAAUAGCAUACAUUGCAAUAAGGUUAUUUGUGGGAAGGAUAACUUUCACCAUGUCAUCACACACCACUUGCAUAUAAACGGGUCCAUUCCUUGGCUGCAGGGAUUAGUGAAGAGAACAUUAGGCAGCAGUAUAACUAGAGCUAAUGUUUUUGAAAAAAGAAAAGAAAAAAGGGGUGUGUGUGUGUGUGUGUUGGGAGAGGUAAAACUAUAAGAGAGUUAUUAAGAUUACCUGUUUCAACAGCUUCCGCCUCAUUUGAUUUCCAAUGCUUAGCAAUGUUCUCCGAGAGUGGAUCAUCGGGAUUUGGAGCACUCAAAAGUGCUUGAAUACUAGCAGAAAAGAGACCAACAUUGGCAAUGAUUCAGUUCCAAUUUGAACUUCAAACAAAUAUACCCAAACACUAGUUACUGUUAUGAAAGCACAUUAUACAGAUAUUAAACAAAAAGUGUGUCGGGAUAAUUUGAGCCUGUGAUUCAAAUAGGUGUUUCUUAUGGAGACUAUGAUCUGAAAGGUAAUAGCUUUACCAUAAUUCAAAGACCAAGGCACAUUAAAUGAUGAUACCUUAGAAGAACAGUUCGUAUCUGGAGAGCAGGACUCCACUUGUCUUUCAAAAUGUCAAGGCAUAUCCUUCCCAGCUGUAUAAAAAAUGCACGCAUGGAACACAAAACAUUAAUUCUGAAUCGUUUAAAAGUAAGAGAGAGAGAAACAAAACGAGAAAGGUUGCCUACCUUGUCUAUGUUAGGAUGGUAAAUUUUAGUGAGAAACCGAACCUGUUGCAAGCCAAAAAAUUAGUUCUUGAUAGUGAAGAAUAUCAAGGGUGCUACACAACAUGAUUACGACUAAAAAGAAGGGAUGGAAAAUAUAAUGCAAGUGUAUUAUCUAGCUAUUGGCCAAAACUUAUAGAGGAAUUAAAUGUUCAUAUGGCAGGUACCACAGAGUUCUGCCAGGACUUUCGUGAUCCUUUUUUUCUAUUUUGUCCAAUAUAAUAUGAACAUUAGAAAAAUUUAAAUGACAGAUGGUUUAGAACUGCAAGGCCAAAAUCACAUCCUGAUGCAUUUGUAAAAUCAACACAAAAGAUCACAACAAUGACUCAGUUGGCCUAGGUGGCCUUUUAAUAGGUUGCAGUACCAUAUUGGUAUCCUAGAGAAGGGCUAGUAAACUAUCCAAUCCUGCUCAGCCAGUAGAGGUUUCACCAAUGUAAGCAUACCAGAAAUCAAAAGGGGUACUAGCACCAGUAAUUAUGUGCAACUUAUUUUUAGAUUAGUUUAAUCAAGUGAAAACAUCCAAAUAUAACUAUUAACCUUGUAAAAUUUCUAUCAGCAUCUGCACUCCCAAUAUUUUCAACUGAACUUAAAAUUCCAUCAUAUAUCAUGAACAAUUAACCGUUCUAAAGAGAGUGCCUGAUCAUUAAUCAUAUUUUUCCCUGAACAAUUUACAAAUGGCAUCAUAUACGCAAACACAGCUUUCCCCUUCUAACUACAAUAUUGAACUUCUUCAUUGUGGGUGACUAAGGAACUUCCUUUUCCGAUCCUAAUGAUCCACCUAGCAUGCAGUAACUAUGCAUAUCCCAGAUACUAUUUUCUCUAAACUUUAAGGACUACAUAUUACAGAGUAAUCAAUACUACUUCUGUAGAAACAUUCCACUUGGGUGAUGCAGGUAUGCCAUCAAAUUGCCCUGGACAUAGAUGAUAAAAAUGGAGAAAACACCCAGCUAAAAUUUCCAUUUAAAUAUUAGAACAGUGCACAUGUGAAGCCAUAAUUAGAAGGUUUAUCCACUGCAAUUCAAUUUAACUGUCCCUGAAUCUUUGAAACCAUUUAAUAAAAAAGGUACUUAUCAUAUAUCCAAGGACGAGCAACAGUUGUGCAGAGCCAACCACCAUCAUACAAGAAAGCAAUAUAGCCUUGGCACAGAUAAAGUGACAUCAAAUCAAAUUACCUUAGGAGCAGCCAUUGGAUAUUCUUCAGGUAAAAAUAGUUCCAACUUGAAAACUCCACCUGAAUUUUUUUUUUUCUAAAAGAAGUGAAUAUACAACACCAUGAUAAAGUCUGCAAUCAUAUUCCAGACAGAAAAAGAAACCAAUCAAUAAGAAAUAUCACAGUUGUAAAACUGACACCUUCAUGAACAUCUCAACUAAAAAUAAUAACAAUCUUGCUAUAUGUAAUCAACAUAAAGUAUCAGUAAGCUAUCAACACUCUCAUUCUAUCUCACAAGCUCAACCCAAAAGAAAGGUAGACUGUCUUAAUAAAGAUAUACAAGCAAUUUGCUGUAGAGUAAAACACACAUCUGCUGGCCUUUUUACUUGGCAACUAAAGGCUGUCGUCAAUCAUCUACGACCCGGCUAUAAGACUAUAGAACUAUUACUCAAGUCAUUGUCAUACUCUGAAAAGCUAACAAACUCAUAGGAGAUAGAUCAGUUUUACAUAAACUGACUACAAUUCUGAAUUCUCACUGAGUCAACGAUAUACACUCUUCCACAGGGUGAUCAAAAAACUCUCCCCAAGCAUAGAUGAUUGCUAGAACAUCUCUCCAAAUAGCCUGCCUACCUGGGAAAUCACUAACCAUCCCUCCUGACUGACAUCCAAAAGCAUUCCUAUUUGUAGACAGGAAACUCUAGGUCUCCUUUAUAAUAAGGUUCCUCCAAUCCCCUAAUACGCUAUGGGAAACAAAAUGAUGAGAAUAUGCAGUCGUUACUUGGUCCAAAGACAUAAUAUCUGAAUAUAGUUCAAUCAUUUGCUUUACGGUAACUAAUUUUUUUUUUUUUUUUGAGAGUAUCAAUGACGGUAACAAUUGACCUAAAAUGAAAGAGAGAGUUGAAUAUGCCUACACAACAAAAAUGAUCCCACAAACUAGACUGCCACAUCAAAGUAUAAAUCUAUUGACAUGAUACUUAUUCCAUACACGAGUAAAGAGAAACCUCGAAGCAAGAAUACCUUGAGUGAUACUUAAUCAUAGUCUACAGAGCUCAAUGAAAUGCUCCAACUUGAUAACACAUUCUACUUAAAUCCAACUUUAUUAAACACAUUCAUUUAUGCAAAGCCCACUUUCACAGAAAAAGAAGAAGAAGCAGAUCAUAGAUUUCCAGCAUCAUAAAUACAUGCACUCACUGAUCAAAUGAAUAUGGAAAAGCUUCCUCAGAUCACAGUUACCAUCAAGCCUUUACACCUUAACUAGAGCUGAAUCUCUCAAAUUCAUUAACAUAACUACCUCCCUAAAAGUCGCAAUUAUGAACACACCAUAGGAUAAACCCAAAAUCUCAUUAUAAAACCACAACAUUAACACACUAGAAAUGAAGUCCAGUGAUUUAUACCUUCAUAAGGAGACUGAGUGGGGCCAAGGAUCAUCACAUUGAAAUAGCGCAUGUUAUCUUCCGACGGUGAAGCACUAAUCCCAGGAGCUGUAAAAUCACAACACAGUAAAUCAAAAUCAAACUAAACCCACAAAUCCCCAUACAACAAAAAAAAAACAACCAAAAGCUCAAUUAUUUGUACUACAUCUAACCAAAGAAAACAAACUAAUCAAAAGCUCAAUUCAACAUUCCAGCUACACAAAAGAUCAAAGACUGAAGCACUAACCGGGUUCACUAAGAAGACGCUGAGUUUCCUGCAAGAAUUAACCGAAAAAAAAAAAAAAAUUAAAACCAAAAAUCGAAAAUUCAAAGCUGGGCGAAGAAACCCUAAUAAGAUCGAAACUUUCGGAGCAUAAAUUCUAGUGUAAGCAUGCAUAAUGAAAUUGGGGAAGCAAAAACUGAGUCUUUGAAAUUCAGGGUUUUGAGAAAAGUGAAGUAGAGUGAUCGGAGGGGAAAAUUCAGAGAGGGAUCGCGAAGCGAACCUUGAUGAUCCGCCGGGGAAGGUUACUGUUCGCCAUUCCAAGGUCGAUUGCAGACUACGCAAUGAGGGUUUUGCAGAGAGAGAAGAGAGAGAGAACGGUGCGUUUUCGCUAUUACACAAAAUAAAGCAUAUAUGCAAUUCUCGAUUUUUGGGGUCGAGAGGCACUUUUAGACUUGGAGAAUAAUUUUCCUUUUUCUUUCCUUCUGCAUAUUGGUUUCUACUUUCUAGUUUGUUAUUUAUUUAUUUAUUUUUUUUUGAAAAAUCUCAUUGCGACUUUCAUUAUUCAAACUCAAAACGCGUAGGUCAGAAGCCGUUACAUACCAUGUCGUUACCAUCUAUAGAUAGACAAGAAGUUAUGAGGCCAAACUCAUAUUAUCAGUAUAUAAGAUGGACUACAUAUUAAUCGUAAUCACUCAUAGUCUUUAAGGCAUAAAAAAAAUAGCUAGAUCUAGCCCCCCUCGAUAAAAUAGACCAAACUCCGGAGUCCACCAAACCCGCCUGUCCUAACCCACCAUCGCCAACGACAUGUCACACACCCAAACCUAGCGCCUGCACCAAACGCACUCAGCCUCGACUCAUGCUGCUUUGAUCUCCGUCAUCGUGACCUCCGCCGCUUCGGACCUCAAUCUCUGCACUGCUUGUCGUCGCUACUUACCCAGGAAUCCAUCGCUGGUCUAAAUCCACACAAGCACACUGCCAACAGAGAGGAUGCUAGAGAAUAAGCUGACUUAGGAACAAACUCAAGCGAGGCUACCAUAGCAUACCCUUAAAGCACCUUGGAUCAUAAGCACCUUGGGGAAGUAUUUCAUAACAAAUAAAAUAAGAGAAAUGAAAGAGAAAAACGUUAGUGUAUCCUGCAUUUCCUGCGCCUCUACAUAUGUGUUUAAUGUUAACCAUUCUUAAUGACUGAUUUAUUUAUUUUUUCCAACGGAUAAUGAAUCGAGGGUUGAGGAGUUGUGCAGUAUAAGUACAUCAAAUCACUAGUAGAUAAGCUAACAAUUUUGAGAGGGCAUACACACUAAUCUCUUUGUAAGUUCUUCUUUCUUUUCAUUUUUUUCAAGUGGAAGCUAUUAAAUUCGAUUUCAAAUACGAAGUCGGUGUUAUGGCAUACUUGAAUGUCUAACAAGUUUGUACACUAAAAAGGAAGUAGUACAAGGCAAAGAGGAAAAUGCACCGCCGGCACCCCACCUUUUGUGGCACGGUCAAAGCGGUACCCAUACUUUAAAAACUAUCAAUGUGGUACCCAAACUUCUAUUUCGCUACCAAGGAAAGGCCUGAGGCCAAUUUCCGUAACUGUGCCGUUAGUUUGCUGACGUGGCCGGCAUAGGGCCCACCAAAAAAAGGUGCAAUGACAAAAAUAACCUUCUAAUUCUUCAGAACUGUUUUCCCUCCAAAAUCUUUAAAAUUGAAUCUUGGGUUUUCAUUCUAGGUAUCACAUUGAUCAGUUCAAUAAAGUUUAGGUAUCACAUUGAUCAGUUCAGUAGCGUUUAGGCACUGCUGUUAUGUUUAUCUGUUGACAAUAAAUACUAUGCAAUAGCUGAAAAUGUAACAUAAAAAUUCAAACAUAGAACCAAAAAGAGCUGUCAAUAUCACUGAAUUAAAACCAUUAAAACCAACAUCAGUUCAACACGAGAAACAUACUAUGCUUUAGAAUUCAAGCUUUAUUAGUUUCCAAAAACUCAAGGAACCAGAUUGUAUGUAAAAAAUUGAUUCCAAAACAUGAUGAAGUACACAUUAUGUUUCUCUAAUAUAAAAGUCAGCACAUUCACUUUCUUUAGCACCCCUUGCUCCAUGAUUUUAGCUACUUUGGGUAGGAGGUUGUGUUGAGGCCGGCUGAUGCAUUACCAUUUCCAGCAGAACUACCCUCCAUUGCCAACUUCAUUUUUUUCCAUCUCUUUAUAGACUUUAUGACCUGGUCCUUGAUAGGUUUUGAUUCCUUGGGUGGGGCUGGUGCCCUUUACACCUGUGGAACACAAACAAGACAUUUCCAACACAAUUCAACAACCACAUUUGGUUCACAAUUCAACAAGACAUUUCCAACACAAUUAAACUUCUAGCAACUGAACAUAACCACUCCAAUGUUUCAAAAAGGAAACACAUAAAACUUGCAACUUAAGUAGCUAAAUUAGAUUACCACAAUGACGGCUAACAGAAGAUAACAAAUAAAAAAAGUUCUACACUACUAAUGUUCAGCCAACUUUAAGCAUACCAAAACCUUCAUCUCUAACUUCAAUUUGAGAAACAAAUUACAUGUAUAAGAACCUUAUAGUCUAAUGUAUAUAUCUAUAUAAUAUCAUAUCAAAAAGAGUAAGAAUCAUAGGCAAACACUAAGACUAAAAGCAAAGGUACAAAAUCAGAAAAAUGACUAACUGAAAUUCUUGAGAAAAGUUAAUCCUCCAAUGAACAAGAGUACAUCAAAACUCAGAAACAAAAAAAGAAAAAGAAGAGAUGAUCAUGAUUCAAGCAAACUCAUGAAGCAAAAUCUGAAUUGCUUGAGAAAAGUUAAUCCUAGUCACUGAGCACAAAGAGUAGCAAGUAAAGUAAAUAGUAGUCAAGUAAAGUCCAGUUUUAAGUAAAAGACACAGACAUCAAGACAUAUGAAAUGAAAAAUAGACUCAAGCAUAGCGAUACCAAAUUUUAUUUGCAAGGAGAUAACAUUUUAUUGAAGUAAAGAAUUUAUUUGCUAAGAUCAAAUUCUAUCAAGUGAAGAAGAUAACAAAGAGUGGAGCUAUCUUUAUAUGCUUAAAAACUGUUCAGUACAACUGAUCAUCAAAAGUAACUUCACUUUGAGAAAUAAAUAUCAAGAAUUGAGAUUCUUUAACACCAUAGAGAAUGCAGCAAAGAUAGUAAAGCAUAAGACUUUAAGUAUCAAAUGAAAGAUGGCCAUAGGGUAUUCAGAACUCAUUAUAAGGAAUAAGGGGUUUAACAUAGAAGGACACGAUGCAUGACAAGUUCAUGUAAAGAGGAUGGCAAGAGCUGUUGUACGUAAGAGAACUAAUUUCAAAAGCAACUGAACAAGAAUUGAUAUCAAACAUGGAUAUGGAUAGGUUGCUGCUAGUAUAUUUUAUAUAUAACUCAAAGACAUAACUCAAGUCAAGUUACAAGACCAUGAGUGAUCGAUAUGAAUAGAAAUAAGCCAUGCUCGAGUACUUUCUGAAGGACUAAACCAGAUUUCUAGCUUCAGAAACAAGAACAUAUACUGAUUAUAUCAAAACAAAGAAACUCAAGGUAAUAUAUUUGAGUACUCAAAACGUGAACUACACUUCAUAAAAUCCUGAAGGCAAGUUCCAAGUUUCAGCUAUUCAAAUUGCUAAAGUCACAGCUAUUCCUAGUGAGCUAACUGCUCAGAUAUGAACAGAGACUAUAAACUUCACAGACUAACAGAUAUAUCUGAAGCUCAAGUAACGAAAACGAAGUUGAAGCUACGAAUCGAGCACAAUUUGACCAGAAAAAUCAACUAUUUGAGCUUAACUACACAAAUUGAACUAAUCAAACUAAGAGAGCAUCUAAUCAGAGCUGAGAACUAACCGUCAACAAAUCCUUCAUGGUGAUCGGAGUGUUAGCCGCUUCCAUGGUUGUGCAAAUCGAUGGCUCAGAACCGACGGCUCAGAUCUACAGCUGGUUGCGAAUCCAGUAAGAAAGAUAGAGAAACGGAGAGGCGCGAGCGCUUCGAACAUUGCGGUGGGGAUUCGAAGCGAGUUGAGAUCUGGAACCAGCAGAACGAAAGGCCUCUCUGGUGGCAUGUGCAUGUUUUAUGGCUCCGUGCAACUGUCUAUGGCGCCCUCAUAAUCCACCCAAGAUCCCCUCGAUCCUACCCCUUCCCUACACCCUUCCAGGACGUACCGAUUAUGUUAGGUAAGUAGUCGAUUAACUGAUCCUUAAUUUUCUUCAAGGAGAGUCUCUGGAAAGCGAACAAGGGAGGGAGGGAGAGAGAGAUGAGAGAGAUCUAAGAAAGAAAAAGAGGGUAAGAAUAAGGGGGGAAGGGGGAAAUCAAGUUUUGAUUCAAUUAGGGAUUAGGGUGUCGUCUGUGUAAAAUGUCAUUUUUACCCUUUUUUGGGUGGACCCGAUACUGGCCAUGUCAGCAAAUAGACGGCACCGUGACGGAAAUUGGCCUCAGAUCUUUCCUUGGUAGCAAAAACAAAGUUUGGGUAUCACAUUGAUAGUUUUUAAAGUCUGGAUACCACUUUGACCGUGCCACAAAAGUUGGGGUACCAGUGCUUUCAAAACUUCUUAGGCAAACUCAAUAUCACAUCAAUCAGAUCUUUGUGUGACGGCUGAUGGGUAUUAAGGUUCGCAAAACGGGCCAAGACCAGUAUAUUCAACUAGUUGAUGUCUAGUUUACAUGAUUCACCCAAGAACCCCAACUAAAGCCAAUUAUUUGAAACCUAACUUAAUUUGUGGUUAAAAUCGGAGCCAAACAUAUUGAGUUGUCAAAUACCCCUAAUUAAUCCCAAACAUAUCAUACGUGCAGGUUGUUAAUUGCAAAUACAAAAACAUAUAAUUAUUAUAGAAACUUUCAGCAUAAGGUUUCUGUAAUCUGUAUGAUCAAAACUGAAAUGGUAAAGAGGUACUGCAUACUUCCCUCAGAUUAUAUGUAAAUAGUUCACAUUAUGCAUGAUACUUUUGACACGAUCAGUUCUCGAAUUUUUUCUUAAAUUCGUCUGGCAUGUCUUCUGGGAAUAAUUCCUCAAUAACUUCUUUGCACUCGUCACUAAUUUCUUUCUUCAUGAACCCAAGAGGGUUGGCAUAACGAGCCUGAUCAGAUUGAAUGCCAUUCUUUUUUGUGAUCAAAACUCUAGCUCUUUCAAUGGCGUCAAAUUUUUCAUUGCAAUCAUCUGUAUUGCUUUUAAUCGCUGUCACCUCACAUAUCUGUUCUUGGAAGUCUUCAUUCACAAAAAGCUUAUAGGAUCCAUUGUCAUCGGUUGUUGCAUCGUCGGUGUAGAUGACAGUUUCAUUUUCGCGACUUCUGCAUUCCAGUCUUACUAAAGCACCUGCGUGCAUGAAUCAAAAUGUCAUUUACGCAACCAGUUUCAUGUGUUUAUCAACAUUUUAUCGAAACUCGUAACAAACUGAUAAUGUAAUGAGAAUAAUGAUCAGAGUCAUUAAUACAAUUUAGUCAAAGAGUCACUAAUAUGAUUGAUUCAUUGUUCUAUAGUGCACAUGAACCCAAAUUCAUAUAUGUCUACGGAAAAUUCUCAUUAUAGAUUCAAAAUAGUUGAAAAGAAUAAAUAGACUAGCUAGGGUGACAUACCGGAUAUCCGUUUACUGACUCUGGUUGGGAACUGAACACGGCAUGGGUCACAAUAUACAUAACCCUCAACAGUGAUGCUGGUUUUGUCGCCUCCAUUGUCACCGUCGGCAUAGGCCAAAGACAACAAGCAUGACAAGGUGAGAAAAACUGCAACGAUUUCCAAGUUCUUCGCCAUUAUUCUUCUCUCGCUAAUUGUAUGUGUUUCUCUUCUCUGUUGGUCUUUUCUUGAUGUUUCUUCCUUUCCUUGAUUAGUGCAGUAAGUUUAUUUAGCUGCAAGAAAUAAUGGAAUUGAUUAACAUCAUGUGGUAAUAAUUGGCAUGGUCAGAAUUUCACGGCGAGUUGUUUGUUCUACGCUUGUAAUAGCAUAUCCUAAUUAUAAUGUGUUGCCUUGGUUUGCCAUUUUAUUAAGGGUUACAAAAUGUUCCAUUUCAAUAUUUUUAGCCAACAAAUUCUCUCUCUUUUUUUAGAAGUGUUUGUAUGGAAUCUAAAAGUACAUAGAACGAUGUAAAAACAUAAAAGGAAAGCGAUAAAACAAAAACAAAAUGCACAUACGCAUCUAAAAUAAAAAAUGAUAAAGAAUAGCAAGAUCCACAAACACAUCAAGAAUAAUAGGUAACCAAGUGACUUGAUGUCGCAAGACAUCGCGCCACUGCACAUGUCACGAAAGCAGUGUAAAGAUAAAAUUGAUCAUAACCGUAACCAUAACCAAUGAAACAAUCACCUAGGAGUGAAUCGCUCAUCAAGAGUUCGAAAAUAAAUGAGGGUGUAAAAAACUCGAAAAUUAGCAAUUGAACUCGAUCCCAAAAACCAGAACCAAUGCCAUAUCCAUAUAAGCAGCUGAGUCAGAUCUUUUAUGCCACCUUGAUCCCAUAUAUGUCAUUUUUCCAGAUUAGGUUUAUCGGACCCGAUUUGGCUACGCCUCUGAUCUUGGGUGCAACAAGGAGUGAUAUGGGUUUGUUUGGACCCGGUCGGAGCGGCCGAGCAUGGACAGUGGUGAACCGACGACUCUACGGGCGCGGUGAUGGCUCGGCGCGACUGUCGACUUGGUUUCCUUAUAUUUCCUGUGUAGCUUGGGCUUGGGCCCUCUUUGGCCCAAUCUGGGAUGGUAUCUUAAUUUCUGUUUUUUGUUUGAUUUACGUUUGUUGUCUAGGUGGUUUUAUGCCGUUAAUAAGCCCUUUUGCGAUAGUGCGAUGUGGGCUAUGUCCUGGUAAGCGCACGCAACAUACUAUGACUGCUUUACUGAGGUAGCGAGUUCAUUGCUUAGUCAAAUGGUCGCAGCCUUCUUACGGCAGAGUGAAAUCUUCGCAUAAUAGGAAAACGGAUAUACAUAGUCUUUUAUGACCCCAUAUGAGUUUUAGCUUUCCAUUAUGUCGCCAUGUUUUAUGCAAAGUAAAUAGAGUUGUCAAUGAUGCAAUCUUUGUUAAAUGGUUCUUGCUUGAAUGCAUAGGUUGUGUAGGGUCUCCUAAUAUUAUUUUUAGGUGUUCUUACACUAUGGUAUAUGUUUUAUGUCCCCCCUUAUAUUCUGCGGUUUUAUCAACAGUAACAGCGUGAGGGCUGCCUUUUAGCCCUUAGAUUCAAUAUAUAUAUAUAUAGUCUGUUUCUGGUGCGGACGUCCGUACGGGUUUUCCGUACUGAUUUCCGCCGUUUCUCCAUCAUUCCAGCGCCGGCAACACCGUUUUUUCUCCCCGGCGUGAUCCCAAACCUCCCCCGACGGUGUUGGAAUGAAGAAAAAGGCCGGAGAGAUUGCGAUCGGAGGUCUGUGCAGCAAUCUCACUCAGAACUUCACGACAGAUCAUGGUGGACCUCCGAUCGUGAUCUCUCCAGCCUUCUUCUUCAUUCUAACACCGUCGGGAGAGGUCUAAGAUCAAGUCAGGGAGAAGAAACAACGUCGCCGGUGCUGGAAUGGUGGAGAAACAGCGGAAAUCCGUACCGAAAACCCGUCGAACGUCCGCACCUGAUAANCCUUCUAUAUAUAUAUAUAUAUAUAUAUAUAUAUAUAUAUAUGUGUGUGUGUGUGUGUGUCAUUUUUCAUGUCAGUUGAUGUCUGGUUGACAUCAUUCAAACAAUAAAUCUAGACUUUUAAACGUUUUUAAAUCUAAUGGCUCACAAGUUGUAUAAAAAUUUGUGUAAAAUAUGGUGGUCCUUAAACCUGACCCUUCUUUAUAAAAAGAAAAUCAAACUUUGAGAAUUUUGAAAAAUUCUACGGUUAUGAAAAGUAUAAGAAGAACAAUAGUACAUAGAACAAACGCCCGAAGAAAAACAUGUAAGAACUCAUGACUCAUAAUCCGUAGAACAAGAUCAUAUUCUCCAGCAACAUGCUCUUAAACGGGAAUGAAAACAAGGGUGGGUUAAGAUAUGCUACACCCCACCUCAGUUUUUUGAUGGUGAAAUCUAUUAUACUGUAUAUACAUUUGACUAAAAUAUAUUUGAUUCUCAAAGGAUCAAGACGAUCCUAAUGCUAGGUUUUUUUUUUUUUUUUUUUCCAAAAAUGAGAUCCUAAUGUAGUUGAACCUCAUGACUAAAUAUUAAGGGAAAAGCCCAUUUGGUCAAAAACAGCAAAAAUAAACCUCAUUCCAAUGAAAAUCUUAUCAUUAUGCCCAUUCUAAUUAUUCUUAAGACAAAAACGCUAUUACCUUGUCUUUUUGUAACUACACCCACACAAAUCUCAUCUCUUUCUCCAUCUCUUCUAUCUUGAUAUGCUUCUCUCUCUCUCUCUCACCAUCAUUGCCCGCCAUUCUCAUCCUCAGAUUCUAAAGCCUCAUAGCCGCCACCGCAGCAGGCGACGAUCACCAUAGCCUCGAUGUCCUCCUCCUCCGUUGGAGCCUCCACGUCAGUAACAACAUCAUCAGAUAUCAACUAGCAUCGUCAACGUCGUCCGUCGUCGGAGCUCUCGAUCGUCAACCUCAUCACCAUAAAACUGUUGUGUAUGAACGUACCUCUUCAUCUCUUCAAGCCCCUGUGCGAUCAAGUCGGGUCGUCGGUGGCGAGGGUUUUGACCAGAGAUGAACACCCAGCCGAUCUAGUUUUAGAUCUAUGGUUAAGCAUUAUAAUGCUUUGUUCAUAGAGUCCUUUGUUGGAUACAAGAAGGAGGACAACUCGUGGAGGGAGGAGAAAGCUAGAGGUUAAGCAAAUGAUACAUGAUACUAGAGGAGGAUUGCAACGUGGCCAAGGAUUUCAAGGUAGGAUCUGAUCCUUCUUUGUAAAUUGUGGUUGUUGUUGGUCUGGAGGUUAAAUUGGUGUUGUGGUUGGAGAACAAGAGAAGGGGAGGAGUAGUCUUGCUACCUAAUUUCACUUUGGGUGUAGAGAGGAAUUCAUGUGAUAAAGGUGAGAUCUAAAGGCUUUUUUGUUUUGUUUGCGAAGGUGAAGAAGCCUUUUCAGCUGUAAAGUUUCUUUUUUACUACCUCAGUAAUAUCUUAUUGCCCCCCCCAGUAAUUUCUUAUUACCACUAUCUUCUUCGUUUUUUUUCCCUAGAAGAAGUUUAAUGCCCCCCCCCAGUAAAAUCUUAGUAGAAGUUUAUUGCCCCUAGUAAAACAUUUUUCAUCACUACUGCCCCUCAAUCUUCGUUUUUUUGCUCCCAGUAGAAGUUUACUGCCUCCAAUAAAAUCUCAAUAGGAGUUUAUUGCCUCCCAGUAAAACAUUUUCAUCAUAACUACGCCUUAAUUAAAUUUUAGCGAUUGUGCGAUACACUUCCGGCAAGGUCCGGCAGAUCCUGGUGACAUUUAAAAAAAAAAAUCAGGCUAGAUUCUGGUAACAUUUUAAAAAAAUCGGGCGAGAUUCCGGUGACCAGCAAGAUUGUGGUCACUGGCGACUGGAGUCCCGUGGCCAGUGAGGUUCUGGCCAAAUCUUCUCUCUUUUCCAUUUUCUCUCUCUAUGCAUGUUUAAGGGGUGAGGGCAAAAUAGUCAUAAAAUAAUAUUGUUUGUUAAGACUUUAAGUAAAGAUUUGUUCAUUUGGGCAUAAAUAGAGAUACCUUAUAUUGGAAUAGGCUUUUCAAAAAGAUUGUGAUUAAAAUGAGCAAUGAAGGGUUAAAAUUAGUACUAAAUGACAUUAAUAAUGUUUUAUUGUUAAUUGAUCACAUCUCUAUCACCACGUAAUUACUAGAGUCUGUAGAACAAGAUUAUGCACAAAUAACUCUAUACUGUAUAGUGUGAGUGUGGCAAAUGAGUGAAGCACAUUUCUAUUUGAGCUUAUAAACUGUUGAAGAAUUAUGAUAAUGACAAAAUCCUUAUUUAUUUUUUGUUGGAUUUUGUGUCGUAAGUCAGAGAUGAAUGAUGAGUCACCCUUUUAUCAUUGUAGCACAAUAAGAGCAAGUUCACCCGUUGAGUUAGAAUGAACAUAGUGACCUGGGUCACUCUGGGUUAUUGUGACUAGGCAGCAGUUUCCACCCGUCAAAGAUGUGAGAUUGUUAAUGAUUGUUUAUUGAAUUUUCAAAAACAUUUGUAAAUAUGAAUAAUGGUUUUUAGGAAUGUGUAUGGUGCGUCUAUUGCCACCCCACAAACCAUUUUGUUCACCCCCGCAUUCUUUUCACAUCCCACUUACAUAAUUUUAAUUGUAAGUAUACUUUAUUCACCCAUUAACAAUACCUAAAAAACCUUUUUUUCAAUUCUAUUUUGUUCACCCUACAUUCUUUUCAUAUAUUUUGUAAACUUUAGAUUUGUUUAAGGUAAGUAAAAUCACCAAGUGAACAAAAAUUCACAUUAAAGUAUAAAUCCAAGUUAAAGAACAAGAAAAAACUCUCAAAUUUAACAACUCAAUGGUAUCAAUCGAUAUCAAGAUGCACAAUGUCUGUAAAUGUAUCUCUAGUAGCAACGUCUUCCAUACUUCUAAGUUUUUUGAACUGAUCUAUCUGUUGUUUAUAAAUACGGUAUAAUAGUUGUCCAUGAAAAUUUACAUACAAAGUCGACAUAAGAAAUAAUGAGUAAAGAGAUAGACGAAUCAUCAAUAAAGAAAAAAAAAAUACAAACAGUUUACCUCAUCUUUAGGUUAAAUGUUAGUGUCUUCAGAUUUACGACCGAAUAUGAUAAAUAUGGGUUAGAGUUAUGAAAUUUGUGUUCAUCUAAAACAAAAAGACAAAAAAGAAAAAAAAAUUUGUAAUUUGUAAUUUGUAACAACUUAUUGUCCCUUACAUUUGGAUAUUUUAGUAUUUCAAUAAAUCAAUAACGUGCAGGGUGAACAAAGUGGUUUAUGGAGUGGCAAUAGACGCACCCUAUAAAUAUUAAAAUAUUAGGGUAGAUAUUAAUGCAAAAUAUACGGCAUAAUGUAAAAAAGAGGUUUACUUUAUUGCAAAUAAUUAGGGUUUUAUACAAAGAAGGGUGUUUAUAUAAAAUUUACAAUGACAUAAACACUAUGACAUAUGAAAUUAAUAAAUUUAUGCGAAACCUAGAAUAAAUUUACACAAAAUGUUUUUAUAAUUCUUUUUUGGCCAAUGGUAUUUUUAUAUCAUUUUCUGAUUUUUUUCAUAAAUCUUUCCAUAAUACAUAUUUAAAAGAAAUUGGCUAUUAAAUAUAAGCCUUUAGAUUAAAAAUAUAAUUGAAACCAACGGCCAGAUUAAAGGACCAUUGAUUUAAAAAUUUUAAAAGAAACCCAACAACCUUUUGGCACAUGGUUGCUGACACAUAAUGUCACAUCGCGACAAAAGAUUGCCUCCCACGCAGGAAAGUUUGCAUCUGAUUGGUCCGUGAGAGAGACGUUAUCUGGCUAUCUGCAGGCUCGUCGAAGAGAGGGAGGCUGGCCGCUGACGUUAGUAACGUGUGUGGGCUUGGGCUAAGGUGGAAGAAACUCACCUGGGCUAGAUUGCUCCUCUCGCCUGGGUCAGUUUGCUCCCCUUCUAUUUAAUCUGGGUUGAAUUGAGGGGAUAUCCCAUAUAUGGGUGGAAGAUGAGUUUUUCUUCUUGGGUUGGAUUGCCUAUGUGUCAACUAACCUAGGUUGAAUUUUUUUCAAUGGGUGGACUUGCUCUAAGGAUUAAUACGUUGCAGCAAUCACUUGAGAAAAUUACAUAGUAGCACAUGACCAAAUUUAAAAACACAAAAAUCUCACUUUCAUUAAUUUUUAUACAGUUUAGGAGUUAGGACAUAAGCACAAGCCCAAAACUAAGAGCAUCAAGUCUGAUCCAAAUUUUAGCUAUCAAAUGACCAUAACACCUAGGGCUGGACAUGGGACGGGAUUAGGGUUAUCCCACGGCCCGUCCCUAAUCCCGUCUUGCACAUUGCACACGGGACGGGAUUAGGACGGGUCUUACGUUUUUAAGACUUGAUCAUGCAAGUCCCGUCCCAGACGAGACCGGGACGGGACGGGCCCAAUCUCGCCAUCUCGGCCCAAUAUCAAAAGUCCAAACUAGAAAAUAAAGAAAAAGAAAUUUGAUGACCUGACAGAGAUACACAUAUAUAACCUAGUUCUACAACAAUUAGAUAAUUACUCAAUUAUAUAACUUGAGUACCUGAUAGUGAUACCAAUAAAGAUUACAUAAUCUGAAUCCAUAAUCUAUAACUAGAAUUAAACUAGAGUAACAAUACAAGUUGCUCCAAGGUGCUCCAAAUACAAACAAUUUCAAAUCGAAUCAUCGAUGACAAUACCAACCACGACUAGUGCUGCUUCUACUUGUGAUAGUGCUAGAUAAAGAGGUUGAAGAUUGCGGCCUUUGCAUGUGUAUACCUCCAUCAACAUGAACCACAUACUAAGAAAAAAAAAUGCAGAAAUUGAAGAUUAGAUAUAUACAAAAUGGAAACAUCUCACUUAGAAAAGAGUUGUCUUAUGCUAAAGCAGGUUACUUAAAAACAAAUAUAUACAAACACUAGAAAGUAGAAACUAUUCAUAAAUAUAAGAUCAAUUCUUUAUGCUUGGUUUAUGUAAACCUCAGUAGGGAUCUAACUCAUGAGUACUCAUAUGCAGCUGGAUAUCUAAGAACUUCACAAGAACAGCUACAAUAUGAUCACAUUAAAUAUACAUAAAUCUGAUCACAGCUGGAUAAAGUAUACAUAAAUCCUAAUACAACAAGAACAACUACGAUCUGAUCGCAUUAACCUGUUACCGAUUCAUUCUUUUUAAGAGAAUGUAUAAUAAGAUCAUAUAUGAAGUACUUAUUUUGAGAGAACAAAAUGUAUAAUAAGAUCAUGAAGUACUUAUUUUGAGAUAAGAACCAGACACACACGUUAGAUAAUGAAUAAGACUACACAACCUAACAACAAAUGCAACAGUAAUAGAUUGGAUAUAUGCAACCAAAAAAAUAGUUAAAAAGUGUAAAAUACAUGAUCAUAGAGAGCCAUAAGCAAGUGUUUAAUCUCCUUUGUUCUCCUCUGCAUUCAGCCAUUCACAAUAAACUUAUUCAACUUUAUAGAUAAUCAAGCAAGAAGUGAAGCUUUUUUGAAUACACAUGUUCAAUAAACACAUAUAGAUAAUCACAUACAGCUAAUUACUAGUACCCAAUAGCCUCACCUUGACUUUCUUCAUCCCCAGAAACAUAAAAAGAUUUAUACAAAUUGGGUCGAUUAAAUUGAAACAAAAAAUCUAGCAUUACAUUCAUAACUUGAAAAUACAUAAUCCAAAUGUGGCCGAACGCAUAGCACAUAUAUAGAUUUCAUCGAAAAACAUAUAAUACAGAUAUAACGAAUAAAGAAAAAAUGAUCUUGCCUGACGUUAAUGAGAGAAAGAAUUGGGUUUUGCUAUGAAAAUUGGAGAAGCUGCCACAUAUAGCUAAAAAGGUUUUGGAAUCUAUCUAGUUUGUCAUGAUAGUCAGAGUUACAUAGUAUGAGUUUCUCUAUGUGUUUCUAGAUUCUAUCUGCCUUCUUUGGCUUUUUGCGUUCUGCAGCAUGAAUGCCGAGGCGAGGAGGAAUCGGGCGGUGAGGUUAGUGGAGGCAGUGGAGGAGUUCAAGGAGGACUUCGGCGAGGCGGCAAGUAGUGGGAUAGUCGAAGAUGCCGUUUGAUAUAGAGUGGGAUUGAGGUUUCGUUGGAUUGGAAUUUCAAGUAGGCAUCAUCGAUUGAGGUUUUGAGGUUUGGUUGGAUUGGGAUUUAGGGUUUGCGUGACUUCACGUUUUAGGAUGAAACUGAAAGAGUGAAAGACUACAGGGAUAAUGGGAUGAGUUAGUAUUAGGGUUCAAAAAUGAAAGGUUGAGAUCAAAACAUCUAAAAAAAUCAACGGCUCAGAUUAGUCUAUAUUUUACACAGGACAGGCCUAGUGUUUUUAGACUUAGAUCCCAUCCCAUCCUGUCAAAUUUUGGGACGGGAUCAGAAUGGGACCAGGAUUUAGGUUUUUUAUACCCACCCCUAAUAAAAUACCCCCAUCCCCAACUUUCCUCUCUCUCUCUCNNNNNNNNNNNNNNNNNNNNACCUAACCUAACCUACCUACCUACCUCCUCUCUCUCUCUCUCUCUCUCUCUCUCUCUCUCUCUCUCUCUCUCUCUCUCUCUCUCUCCUUACCAUCAUCGCCGCCCCUCCUCAAACUCCACUGCCUCGCCGCCGCCGCCGCACCAUGUGCGCCCCACGACCGUGCUCUUUGGCGUUGACUGGGGCUGGGUCCCUAUAGACUACACCUUCCCCGUCGCCGGUGACAAGAACUCCGAGGACGACUUCGAUGCGCUGACGACGACAAAGGGCGACGGAGCUAGCGCAGCCGCUCGUGGAGGUCGGAAUCGAGUUCAAGAUCCACAUCAGGAAGGAUCGGGACAUGAAGGAAAGGCUGUGCUUAGAGGUGGAGCGGCUAGGGCUCAGUUCCGUCAUUAUGGGCAGCCGAGGGUUCAGCGCCGUCAUUUCCUUCAAGAGGAGCGUCGUCGCCGCCUUCAAGAGGAACCUCAAGCUACAUGGCAGUAGCAGUACAUUAACUUGGUCAAGUCUUUACUUUGAAUUUAAAGGUGAUGUGAUAUGGUCGUCAUAUUCAUAGGCUAGCACCUUGUCAUGAUCCGAUCAAGUCUUUAGUUUGAAUUUGAAGGUGAUUUGAUCUUCAAUUUGUAUGAGAUAUUCAUGGAUUUGAUCUUUAGUUGGUACGAGAUGCUUGGUGAUCUAAUUCCUCACUGUCUCUCAAUUGUCUCACUCAGUAGUAGUAAUAUAAAUGAGGUUGAUUGGUUUGGGUUUGGGUUGAUUAGUAGGUGAUUUCAUAUAUGAAUGAGGUUUGUUUUGAGGACAUGAAUAAGAUCUGUUUAUCUGAAUGAGGUUUGUUUAUUGGGUUAAACCAUUACUGUGGUAAAUGCAGUUUUAAAGUUCAUUAGCAGUGAUACAUACAGCAGCAGCGCACUAGCAUCAGAGUCGGUAGUAGCAGCGCGCUUGCUGUUUUAAAGUUCAUUAGCAGUGACACAUAUAGUAGUAGCGCACUAGCAUUAGAGUCGGCAGUAUCAGCACUUUUGCAAUAAGAGAUUGUCAGAAAAAAAUUACAAUAGCAGCGGCAGUAACACCUUUUGAUUGGCAGUAGCACAUUUCAGUCGACAAUAGCAGUAGAAUAUGUAUUGAAGGGUAUUCUAGUAAAAUUGUAGUAACAGAUGGUAUGUGCAUAUUAAAUUGGGAAAAUGCCCAAAUGCCCAAAAAUAGGGUUUUCAUAACCCAAUUCAAUGAAAAACAUUUUGCUUAGCCCAUUCCAAUGUUUUCUUANNNNN